GCGUAAAGGCGCGUGUGAGCGGCUUCUUAAGUCGGGGGUGAAAUCCUGGAGCUCAACUCCAGAACUGCCUUCGAUACUGUAGAGCUUGAGUUCGGGAGAGGUGAGUGGAACUGCGAGUGUAGAGGUGAAAUUCGUAGAUAUUCGCAAGAACACCAGUGGCGAAGGCGGCUCACUGGCCCGAUACUGACGCUGAGGUGCGAAAGCGUGGGGAGCAAACAGG
RNAcentral lists this ribosomal RNA (220 nucleotides) under uncultured bacterium. RNAcentral's name for it is "partial 16S ribosomal RNA". It matches the Rfam family "Bacterial small subunit ribosomal RNA", at positions 558 to 776 of the family's 1533-position model. The record is from RNAcentral.